GAGAGAGAGAGAGAGAGAGAGAGAGAGAGAGAGUGUGUGUGUGUUCUCACAUUUCUUACUUUGUUGGGUCCGGUCACUCGGAGCACACCAACGGUGUGGGCCCAACUACGUUGUGGGGUCCAAAAUGCCGGACCCCACAACGUUUUUUUCAUUUUAACAUGCUCAGGAUACUCCCCUGAUAUGCCUAAUGUGUUUUUUUACUUGGCCCACAACGUAGCAAAAACUGGGUACGAGUGUGUGGGACCUGGGUUCUCGAGCGCCCCCUAGGUAGAUUUGGACCUGUCCAAUGGUCCCGGAAUGUGUGUAGGCUCACACACACUCUUGUAAUUUAAAUAAAGUUUUAUUGAAUAAUACGAUGUCAGGUGGUUAUUACGAGAUUUGCUGCUGUGAGAGAAAGGAAUUAUGGAUCUUCAUCACGAGGUUUCACAGACAAAGGACCUGCUGUUAUGAGUAAGAGACCCAUAAUGUUCAAAAAGAAGAUCAGAACACGGCAACAUCAUACAUACUGUCAA
Molecule: long non-coding RNA, 512 nt
Organism: Tachysurus fulvidraco (yellow catfish)
Lineage: Eukaryota; Metazoa; Chordata; Actinopteri; Siluriformes; Bagridae
Exons: 2
Source: RefSeq, a predicted model, not a curated record